RNAcentral lists this ribosomal RNA (422 nucleotides) under uncultured bacterium. Its description in RNAcentral is "bacterial SSU rRNA". It matches the Rfam family "Bacterial small subunit ribosomal RNA", at positions 355 to 774 of the family's 1533-position model. The record is from RNAcentral.
UAAGGAAUAUUGGACAAUGGAGGCAACUCUGAUCCAGCCAUGCCGCGUGAAGGAAUAAGGCCCUAUGGGUUGUAAACUUCUUUUAGACGGGACAAAACCCCUUUACGUGUAAAGGGUUGAUGGUACUGUCAGAAUAAGCAUCGGCUAACUUCGUGCCAGCAGCCGCGGUAAUACGAAGGAUGCAAGCGUUAUCCGGAAUUAUAGGGUUUAAAGGGUGCGUAGGCGGACUAAUAAGUCAGUGGUGAAAGCCUGCAGCUUAACUGCAGAAUUGCCAUUGAUACUGUUAGUCUUGAGUACAGUUGAGGUAGGCGGAAUGUGUCAUGUAGCGAUGAAAUGCUUAGAUAUGACACAGAACACCGAUUGCGAAGGCAGCUUGCUAAGCUGUAACUGACGCUGAGGCACGAAAGCGUGGGGAGCAAACA